UACGAAGGGGGCUAGCGUUGCUCGGAAUCGACUGGGCGUAAAGGGUGCGUAGGCGGGUCUUUAAGUCAGGGGUGAAAGUCCUGGAAGCCUCAACUCCAGUAAACUGCCUUUGAGCUACUGAGGAUCGUUGAGUUCGGGAGAGGUGAGGUGGAACUGCGAGUGUAGAGGUGGAAAUUCGUAGAUAUUCGCAAGAACACCAGUGGCGGAAGG
This 210-nucleotide ribosomal RNA is filed under the name uncultured bacterium. Its description in RNAcentral is "partial 16S ribosomal RNA". It matches the Rfam family "Bacterial small subunit ribosomal RNA", at positions 524 to 721 of the family's 1533-position model. The record is from RNAcentral.